AUGAAGAGUUUGAUCCUGGCUCAGGAUAAACGCUGACAGAAUGCUUAACACAUGCAAGUCGAUGAGCUAAGUAAGCUUGCUUACAAGGCACAUGGCGGACGGGUGAGUAACGCGUAAAGAACUUACCCACUAGACUGGGAUAACAGAGAGAAAUUUCUGAUAAAACCGGAUAAGUUAGUAGUAGGCAUCUACUGCAAAUGAAAAAGAGAUUACUAGUGGAGAGCUUUGCGUCCUAUUAGCUAGUUGGUGGGGUAAAGGCCUACCAAGGCGAUGAUAGGUAGCCGGCCUGAGAGGGUGAACGGCCACAAGGGGACUGAGAUACGGCCCUUACUCCUACGGGAGGCAGCAGUGGGGAAUAUUGGACAAUGGAGGUAACUCUGAUCCAGCAAUUCUGUGUGUGCGAUGACGGUCUUCGGAUUGUAAAGCACUUUUAGUUGGGAAGAAAAAAAUGACGGUACCAACAGAAGAAGCGACGGCUAAAUACGUGCCAGCAGCCGCGGUAAUACGUAUGUCGCUAGCGUUAUCCGGAAUUAUUGGGCUUAAAGGGCAUCUAGGCGGCAAAACAAGUUGAAGGUGAAAAGCUGUGGCUCAACCAUAGUCUUGCCUACAAAACUGUAAUGCUAGAGUACUGGAAAGGUGGGUGGAACUACACGAGUAGAGGUGAAAUUCGUAGAUAUGUGUAGGAAUGCCGAUGAUGAAGAUAACUCACUGGACAGAAACUGACGCUGAAGUGCGAAAGCUAGGGGAGCAAACAGGAUUAGAUACCCUGGUAGUCCUAGCUGUAAACGAUGAUCACUGGGUGUGGGGAGUCAAAUCUCUGUGCCGAAGCAAAAGCGAUAAGUGAUCCGCCUGGGGAGUACGUUCGCAAGAAUGAAACUCAAAGGAAUUGACGGGGGCCCGCACAAGUGGUGGAGCAUGUGGUUUAAUUCGACGCUACGCGAGGAACCUUACCAGAUCUUGACAUCUACGGAAGACAAAGGAGACUUUGUUGUGCCUUAUAGGAACCGUAAGACAGGUGGUGCAUGGCUGUCGACAGCUCGUGUUGUGAGAUGUUGGGUUAAGUCCCGCAACGAGCGAAACCCCUAUCAUUAGUUGCCAUCAUUAAGUUGGGGACUCUAAUGAAACUGCUAGCGAAGAGCUAGAGGAAGGUGGGGAUGACGUCAAGUCAUCAUGCCCCUUAUGAUCUGGGCUACACACGUGCUACAAUGGGUAGUACAAUGAGAAGCAAGAUGGCGACAUUAAGCAAAACUCAAAAGCUACUCUUAGUUCGGAUUGGAGUCUGCAACUCGACUCCAUGAAGUUGGAAUCACUAGUAAUCGUGAAUCAGCAAUAUCACGGUGAAUACGUUCUCGGGCCUUGUACACACCGCCCGUCACACCACGAGAGUUGUUUGCACCUGAAGUUACUGGCCUAACUGUAAAGAGGGAAGUACCUAAGGUGUGAAUAGUGAUUGGGGUGAAGUCGUAACAAGGUAUCCGUACCGGAAGGUGCGGAUGGAUCACCUCCUU
This is a ribosomal RNA of 1508 nucleotides. It matches the Rfam family "Bacterial small subunit ribosomal RNA".